CCUACGGGUGGCAGCAGUGAGGAAUAUUGGUCAAUGGACGAGAGUCUGAACCAGCCAAGUAGCGUGAAGGAUGACUGCCCUAUGGGUUGUAAACUUCUUUUAUAUGGGAAUAAAAUGUUCCACGUGUGGGAUUUUGUAUGUACCAUAUGAAUAAGGAUCGGCUAACUCCGUGCCAGCAGCCGCGGUAAUACGGAGGAUCCGAGCGUUAUCCGGAUUUAUUGGGUUUAAAGGGAGCGUAGGUGGAUUGUUAAGUCAGUUGUGAAAGUUUGCGGCUCAACCGUAAAAUUGCAGUUGAAACUGGCAGUCUUGAGUACAGUAGAGGUGGGCGGAAUUCGUGGUGUAGCGGUGAAAUGCUUAGAUAUCACGAAGAACUCCGAUUGCGAAGGCAGCUCACUGGACUGCAACUGACACUGAGGAGCGAAAGCGUGGGUAGCAAACAGGAUUAGAUACCCCUGUAGUC
Molecule: ribosomal RNA, 460 nt
Filed under: uncultured bacterium
Lineage: Bacteria
Description: partial 16S ribosomal RNA
Rfam family: Bacterial small subunit ribosomal RNA
Source: RNAcentral